GACAGAGGGUGCAAACGUUGUUCGGAUUUACUGGGCGUAAAGCGCGUGUAGGCGGCUUCGUAAGUUGGAUGUGAAAUCCCACGGCUCAACCGUGGACGUGCAUCCAAAACUACGUCGUUGGAGUCUCGGAGAGGAAGGUGGAAUGCUUGGUGUAGAGGUGAAAUUCGUAGAUAUCAAGCAGAACACCUGCGGCGAAGGCGGCCUUCUGGACGAUGACUGACGCUGAGACGCGAAAGCGUGGGGAGCAAACAGG
Molecule: ribosomal RNA, 253 nt
Filed under: uncultured bacterium
Lineage: Bacteria
Description: partial 16S ribosomal RNA
Rfam family: Bacterial small subunit ribosomal RNA
Source: RNAcentral